ACGCUCGACACCUACGGGGGCAGCAGUUGGGAAUAUUGGACAAUGGAGGAAACUCUGAUCCAGUGACGCCGCGUGAAGGAAGAAGGUCUUCGGAUUGUAAACUUAUUUUGUCAGGGAAGAAAAAUGACUGUACCUGAAGAAAAAGCACCGGCUAACUACGUGCAGCACGCCGAGUAUCNGAGGCGGNNGCAG
RNAcentral lists this ribosomal RNA (192 nucleotides) under uncultured bacterium. RNAcentral's name for it is "partial 16S ribosomal RNA". It matches the Rfam family "Bacterial small subunit ribosomal RNA", at positions 328 to 535 of the family's 1533-position model. The record is from RNAcentral.